Gymnodraco acuticeps is the source of this 270-nucleotide long non-coding RNA. RefSeq lists it as uncharacterized. The record is from RefSeq and is a predicted model, not a curated record. NCBI's taxonomy places the organism in Eukaryota, Metazoa, Chordata, Actinopteri, Perciformes, Bathydraconidae. The transcript is spliced from 3 exons.
CCUCGACAGAAAGCAGUGGGAUUUCUCCAGAGGAUUUUGGAAAAUAGCCCGAAAUAAGGCUUUGGAAAUGGUGGUGAUAUAUCAGCGCCGUCCUGCAGCCUUCGGGCAAGGCAGUGCGAUCAGACCUUAUCCAGGUCAUGCCAGUGGGGCAGGAGGUACCAGGAAGAAUGAAGUAAAUCCCGGACACUGUGUCAGCAUCAAGGACUCCUGCUCCAAAGGUUUAUCCAAGAAUUGAAUUAGCCGACUUGCCACGAAAAAUGUGAGCUGUAA